RNAcentral lists this ribosomal RNA (492 nucleotides) under uncultured bacterium. RNAcentral describes it as "partial 16S ribosomal RNA". It matches the Rfam family "Bacterial small subunit ribosomal RNA", at positions 29 to 507 of the family's 1533-position model. The record is from RNAcentral.
AGUGAACGCUGGCGGUAGGCCUAACACAUGCAAGUCGAACGGCAGCACAGUAAGAGCUUGCUCUUACGGGUGGCGAGUGGCGGACGGGUGAGGAAUACAUCGGAAUCUACUUUUUCGUGGGGGAUAACGUAGGGAAACUUACGCUAAUACCGCAUACGACCUACGGGUGAAAGCAGGGGAUCUUCGGACCUUGCGCGAUUGAAUGAGCCGAUGUCGGAUUAGCUAGUUGGCGGGGUAAAGGCCCACCAAGGCGACGAUCCGUAGCUGGUCUGAGAGGAUGAACAGGCAAACUGGAACUGAGACACGGUCCAGAAUCCUACGGGAGGCAGCAGGGGGGAAUAUUGGACAAUGGGCGCAAGCCUGAUCCAGCCAUACCGCGUGGGUGAAGAAGGCCUUCGGGUUGUAAAGCCCUUUUGUUGGGAAAGAAAAGCAGCAGGUUAAUACCCCGCUGUUCUGACGGUACCCAAAGAAUAAGCACCGGCUAACUUCGUG